Molecule: microRNA precursor, 120 nt
Filed under: Caenorhabditis remanei
Lineage: Eukaryota; Metazoa; Nematoda; Chromadorea; Rhabditida; Rhabditidae
Source: RNAcentral
UGUGCGUUUUUACCCAUUUCAAAAAAGUGUUUCGAGAGUACGUGAUUAAAAGACAGUAUGCACCAUAUUUUGAUUGGUUACACUUUUGAACGCUCCUUUUUGAACCAAUAGAAAACAACA